RNAcentral lists this ribosomal RNA (498 nucleotides) under uncultured bacterium. RNAcentral describes it as "bacterial SSU rRNA". It matches the Rfam family "Bacterial small subunit ribosomal RNA", at positions 28 to 517 of the family's 1533-position model. The record is from RNAcentral.
GAUGAACGCUAGCGACAGGCUUAACACAUGCAAGUCGAGGGGCAGCGGGGUUGUAGCUUGCUAUAACUGCCGGCGACCGGCGCACGGGUGAGUAACACGUAUGCAACCUGCCCGUUGCAGGGGGAUAAGCGGAAGAAAUUCCGUCUAAUACCGCGUAAUAUACUUUAGGGGCAUCCUUUUAGUAUUAAAGAUUUAUCGGCAACGGAUGGGCAUGCGGCGCAUUAGCUAGUUGGUGAGGUAACGGCUCACCAAGGCAACGAUGCGUAGGGGUUCUGAGAGGAAGGUCCCCCACACUGGUACUGAGACACGGACCAGACUCCUACGGGAGGCAGCAGUGAGGAAUAUUGGUCAAUGGGCGAGAGCCUGAACCAGCCAAGUCGCGUGAGGGAUGACGGUCCUACGGAUUGUAAACCUCUUUUGUCGGGGAGCAAGAGCUCUACGCGUAGAGUAGUGAGAGUACCCGAAGAAAAGCAUCGGCUAACUCCGUGCCAGCAGCCG